CGAAGACCAGUGCACGCCCUCUGGCGGUCGCACGAGACAGUCCGCUCCGCAGCCAGACGGGGAGCGUGCGGGCUAAAAUGGAGUUUAUCACUAUCACUUCCCCUCUGUGAUUGUUGAACUAAUCCAGAGUGGAAAAAAAAGAAAUUAUAAGACCACUGAUGAGACGGGACCAUGAAACAGCGACUCACCCUUCCCUAAGGAAACUGAGACUCAUCAAGGUCAAGUAACUUUUCUAGGCACAUAUAAUAAAGGAUGGAAACCAGGUCAAUCUGGAACAAAAGCCCAAGUGUUAAUUAUUCUGCAGUUAUCAGAACAGUCUUUCAAGAGCUCCAAGCCAGUCCCCUUGGGGACCAGUCCUUCUCUCUCCAUCAGUGGUGGUCAAUCUGCAUUGAAAAAGGAAGUGAGCAGUUUUGGCUAGCAGCAAGACUGACCUGGUGCCUGCUCUUUGCUGGAUUCCUGCAGAUCCCCUUACUAAUUACAUAGCCUGAGGUAAUUGACUCUGGUAGUUCUCAUCUAUAAAAAUGGAACAACAUUACCAAUCUUGUAUGGUUGCUGGGGAAAUGAAAUACUGUAUCUAAAGUGCUUAGUUUUAUGCAGACACAUAAUAGCUUCAUGAAAUAUGAAUCCUCUUCUCCUUUUUCCUAUCAUCACUGCACCCUGUGGUAUAUCUCUCUUCAAAGUUAGCAACUGGUGUAGAUUUUUGAGCACCAUGCUGAUAUCUAGGCU
Molecule: long non-coding RNA, 726 nt
Filed under: Heterocephalus glaber (naked mole-rat)
Lineage: Eukaryota; Metazoa; Chordata; Mammalia; Rodentia; Bathyergidae
Description: lncRNA (ENSHGLG00000041740.1)
Source: RNAcentral